GGUGCCGGCAAGGCCCAGCACGAUGGGAUGUUCGCGCAACGCGAAGAGUGAACCGAUGGGAUUGGCGCGAACCCAACUGAACCGGCGGCGGUUUUCGGGCGCAAGCGAUUCCGGCAAAACGAAACAACCAUACAGCCAAUUCACCAGCGUGAGUCCACCCGCGACCAAAAACGGCAGGCGAAGACUGUAAUGGCCCAGCACUCCGCCCAACAUCGGCCCGGCGAUGAAUCCGAUACCGAACGCCGCGCCGAUCAGGCCAAAAUUCGCCGCGCGUUUCUCCGGUGGACUCACGUCCGCGAUAUAGGCGCUGGCCGCGGCAAUGUUCGCGCCGGUGAUGCCCGAAAUAAUUCGUCCGAUGAAGAACGCAGC
RNAcentral lists this unclassified non-coding RNA (369 nucleotides) under fungal sp. RNAcentral's name for it is "partial internal transcribed spacer region". Lineage: Eukaryota; Fungi. The record is from RNAcentral.